This 253-nucleotide ribosomal RNA is filed under the name uncultured bacterium. RNAcentral's name for it is "partial 16S ribosomal RNA". It matches the Rfam family "Bacterial small subunit ribosomal RNA", at positions 524 to 776 of the family's 1533-position model. The record is from RNAcentral.
UACGUAGGGGGCAAGCGUUGUUCGGAAUUACUGGGCGUAAAGGGCGCGUAGGCGGCUCUGCAAGUCGGGAGUGAAAGCCCGGGGCUCAACCCCGGAACGGCUCUCGAAACUGCAGGGCUUGAGUGCGGAAGAGGCAACCGGAAUUCCCAGUGUAGCGGUGAAAUGCGUAGAUAUCUGGAGGAAUACCGGUGGCGAAGGCGGCAUCCUGGACCGACAUUGACGCUGAACGGCGAAAGCUAGGGGAGCAAACGGG